Molecule: ribosomal RNA, 907 nt
Filed under: uncultured bacterium
Lineage: Bacteria
Description: bacterial SSU rRNA
Rfam family: Bacterial small subunit ribosomal RNA
Source: RNAcentral
AGAGUUUGAUCAUGGCUCAGAAUGAACGCUGGCGGCGUGGAUUAGGCAUGCAAGUCGAACGCGAAAGUGGCCUUCGGGUCAUGAGUAGAGUGGCGUAGGGUGAGUAAUGCUUGGACGACCUGCCCUCGAGACGGGGACAACAGUUCGAAAGGACUGUAAUACCCGAUGGUCCGUUCCGGAUGCGUCCGGAACGGUAAAUGAAUUUCGCUCGUGGAGGGGUCCAAGUCCUAUCAGCUUGUUGGUGAGGUAAAGGCUCACCAAGGCUUUGACGGGUAGCCGGACUGAGAGGUUGGCCGGCCACAUGGGAACUGAGACACUGUCCUGACUCCUACGGGAGGCUGCAGUCGAGAAUCUUCUGCAAUGGGCGAAAGCCUGACAGAGCGACGCCGCGUGGAGGACGAAGGCCUUCGGGUCGUAAACUCCGGUCACGUGUUAGGAAAACGUGGUUCAGGCCACGUCUGACAAAAGCACGAGAGGAAGUCACGGCCUAACUUCGUGCCAGCAGCCGCGGUAAGACGAAGGUGGCGAGCGUUAUUCGGAUUUACUGGGCAUAAAGCGCGCGUAGGCGGCUCGAUCAGUCGGUGGUGAAAGCCCGCAGCUCAACUGCGGAAUUGCCUCCGAUACUGUCGAGCUUGAGUGCAGGAGGGGUGAUUGGAACUCCAGGUGUAGCGGUGAAAUGCGUAGAUAUCUGGAGGAACACCAGAGGCGAAGGCGAAUCACUGGACUGCAACUGACGCUGAGGCGCGAAAGCUAGGGGGGCAAACAGGAUUAGAUACCCUGGUAGUCCUAGCUGUAAACGAUGGGCACUAGGCAGUGGAGGUCCGAUGCCGUCACUGUCGAAGCUAAUGUGAUAAGUGCCCCGCCUGGGGAGUACGGCCGCAAGGUUGAAACUCAAAGGAAUUGACGG